This 97-nucleotide transfer RNA is filed under the name Actinomycetes bacterium. RNAcentral's name for it is "tRNA-Sec". It matches the Rfam family "Selenocysteine transfer RNA". The record is from RNAcentral. Lineage: Bacteria; Bacillati; Actinomycetota; Actinomycetes.
GGAGCCGGAGCCGUCCUGGUGGGCGGUGCGGUCUUCAAAACCGUUGUGAGGGGUGAAGAGCUCCUCGGGUGGGUUCGAUUCCCGCACGGCUCCGCCA